CAGGUCACCAAGCCAAAGAAGGCUGGUAUGUCUGCAUAUUUAUAUGAAUAAACUGCUGGCUGUGCUGCUCCUCAGAGCUCCUAAGCACCCCAGGAAACAAUGCACUGCAGUCAAUGAACCAAUACCACCACCACUGCUGAAGAUCCAAUUCAUGUCCUGUCUGACAUCAUUCAAUGAAACAAGCCUAAGAUUGCAGCCUUCCUGGUUCAAACUGGGACUAAAAAAUAAACCAUGCUUUUAAGAGGAACCAGGAAGAGAGGAACGCCAUAGAAGAAAAUGCUUGAUGAAUUGAGAGGAGGAGAAUGUCAUAUGGAUGGUGAAAAAAUACUGGUUGGGAAUCACUGAUAUAGAUCUGAGUACUUUGAGGAGAAUAUGUGCCCCAUCUGGAACAAUUCUGUUAGUGUCUCAACUAAUAACAAAUACACUUGUCCCAAAGCAACAUUUGUUUG
Non-coding RNA from Pogona vitticeps (central bearded dragon), 449 nucleotides. Lineage: Eukaryota; Metazoa; Chordata; Lepidosauria; Squamata; Agamidae. The record is from RefSeq and is a predicted model, not a curated record.